UAAUUCCGAUGGUCAUAUAGGAGUAUCC
RNAcentral lists this small RNA (28 nucleotides) under Bombyx mori (domestic silkworm). RNAcentral describes it as "ovarian small RNA-19899". Lineage: Eukaryota; Metazoa; Arthropoda; Insecta; Lepidoptera; Bombycidae. The record is from RNAcentral.